RNAcentral lists this ribosomal RNA (620 nucleotides) under uncultured bacterium. RNAcentral describes it as "bacterial SSU rRNA". The stretch from base 1 to 523 matches the Rfam family "Bacterial small subunit ribosomal RNA", at positions 338 to 873 of the family's 1533-position model. The record is from RNAcentral.
CCUACGGGAGGCAGCAGUGGGGAAUAUUGCGCAAUGGGCGAAAGCCUGACGCAGCAACGCCGCGUGGGGGAUGAAGGCCUUCGGGUUGUAAACCUCUUUCAGCAGGGAAGAAGCGAAAGUGACGGUACCUGCAGAAGAAGCACCGGCUAACUACGUGCCAGCAGCCGCGGUAAUACGUAGGGUGCAAGCGUUGUCCGGAUUUAUUGGGCGUAAAGAGCUCGUAGGCGGUUAGUCACGUCGGAUGUGAAAUCCCGGAGCUUAACUUCGGGCCUGCAUUCGAUACGGGCUGACUCGAGUGUUGUAGGGGAGACUGGAACUCCUGGUGUAGCGGUGAAAUGCGCAGAUAUCAGGAAGAACACCGGUGGCGAAGGCGGGUCUCUGGGCAACUACUGACGCUGAGGAGCGAAAGCGUGGGGAGCAAACAGGAUUAGAUACCCUGGUAGUCCACGCCGUAAACGGUGGGCGCUAGGUGUGGGGAACAUUCCACGUUCUCUGCGCCGCNGCUACGCAUAAGACGCCCGCCGUCGGGAGGUACGGCCGGCCGACGGACGUAAACCGUACGAACGUAAGUAAGUUAGUUACGGCGUGAGACGUGCCGACGGCGACGACGAGGGAGGAGG